This 253-nucleotide ribosomal RNA is filed under the name uncultured bacterium. RNAcentral describes it as "partial 16S ribosomal RNA". It matches the Rfam family "Bacterial small subunit ribosomal RNA", at positions 524 to 776 of the family's 1533-position model. The record is from RNAcentral.
UACAGAGGCCACGAGCGUUAAUCGGAAUCACUGGGCUUAAAGGGUGCGCAGGCGGCUCGGAAAGCGUUCCGUGAAAUCCCCCGGCUCAACCGGGGAACUGCGGAGCGAACUGCCGAGCUUGAGACAAGUAGGGGCGGGCAGAACUGUAGGUGGAGCGGUGAAAUGCGUAGAUAUCUACAGGAAUGCCGAUGGUGAAGACGGCCCGCUGGGCUUGUUCUGACGCUCAUGCACGAAAGCGUGGGGAGCAAACAGG